RNAcentral lists this ribosomal RNA (411 nucleotides) under uncultured bacterium. RNAcentral's name for it is "bacterial SSU rRNA". It matches the Rfam family "Bacterial small subunit ribosomal RNA", at positions 29 to 486 of the family's 1533-position model. The record is from RNAcentral.
AACGAACGCUGGCGGCAUGCCUAACACAUGCAAGUCGAACGAAGUCUUCGGACUUAGUGGCGCACGGGUGCGUAACGCGUGGGAAUCUGCCCUUGGGUGCGGAAUAACUUCUCGAAAGGGAUGCUAAUACCGCAUAAUGUCGUAAGACCAAAGAUUUAUCGCCCAAGGAUGAGCCCGCGUAAGAUUAGCUAGUUGGUGGGGUAAAAGCCUACCAAGGCGACGAUCUUUAGCUGGUCUGAGAGGAUGAUCAGCCACACUGGGACUGAGACACGGCCCAGACUCCUACGGGAGGCAGCAGUGGGGAAUAUUGGACAAUGGGCGAAAGCCUGAUCCAGCAAUGCCGCGUGAGUGAUGAAGGCCCUAGGGUUGUAAGCUCUUUUACCAGGGAUGAUAAUGACAGUACCUGGAGAA